Molecule: non-coding RNA, 390 nt
Organism: Paramormyrops kingsleyae
Lineage: Eukaryota; Metazoa; Chordata; Actinopteri; Osteoglossiformes; Mormyridae
Source: RefSeq, a predicted model, not a curated record
UCACAUACAUUCAGUCACAUUUUGAGACACAUAAUGCACCUGUACCCUGAUUUUGAAACUUGUUGCUUGAGCUUUAUUUCCACCUGAUGCCCUGUCGAAUAACACAUUAAGAUUUAGAAAUGACACUCUAUAGGCACCACCAAUAUCAUCCAGCACAAAUGUUGAAUUCCUUUCCUCCUGAAUAAAGUCUGAAAACUGUAUUCCCAGUUUACUUUCAGACGUGCUACUUCCUACUCUUCAGUGACAGACCAAACCUGUACCCGGUUCCACUGGCUCCAACUUUUGCUGAUCACCUGUUUUCCUUUAACCAUCCAAACUAUCAUGUAAGUUGACUGUUAUUUUCAACGUCUUGCUAUUUGACACUUGGUCUCCGCACACACGUAAAUUUGU